Molecule: ribosomal RNA, 301 nt
Filed under: uncultured bacterium
Lineage: Bacteria
Description: partial 16S ribosomal RNA
Rfam family: Bacterial small subunit ribosomal RNA
Source: RNAcentral
CAGUAGCCGCGGGAAAACGGAGGGGGCUAGCGUUGUUCGGAAUUACUGGGCGUAAAGCGCACGUAGGCGGCUUGGUAAGUUAGAGGUGAAAGCCUGGAGCUCAACUCCAGAAUUGCCUUUAAGACUGCCGAGCUAGCAGGUGAGAGAGGUAAGUGGAAUUCCGAGUGUAGAGGUGAAAUUCGUAGAUAUUCGGAAGAACACCAGUGGCGAAGGCGGCUUACUGGCUCAUACUGGACGCUGAGGUGCGAAAGCGUGGGGAGCAAACAGGAUUAGAUACCCCAGUAGUCCCUGUCUCUUAUAC